GACGAACGCUGGCGGCGUGCCUAAUACAUGCAAGUUGAGCGCUGAAGGUUGGUACUUGUACCGACUGGAUGAGCAGCGAACGGGUGAGUAACGCGUGGGGAAUCUGCCUUUGAGCGGGGGACAACACUUGGAAACGAAUGCUAAUACCGCAUAAAAACUUUAAACACAAGUUUUAAGUUUGAAAGAUGCAAUUGCAUCACUCAAAGAUGAUCCCGCGUUGUAUUAGCUAGUUGGUGAGGUAAAGGCUCACCAAGGCGAUGAUACAUAGCCGACCUGAGAGGGUGAUCGGCCACAUUGGGACUGAGACACGGCCCAAACUCCUACGGGAGGUAGCAGUAGGGAAUCUUCGGCAAUGGACGAAAGUCUGACCGAGCAACGCCGCGUGAGGGAAGAAGGUUUUCGGAUCGUAAAACUCUGUUGGUAGAGAAGAACGUUAGUGAGAGUGGAAAGCUCAUCAAGUGACGGUAACUACCCAGAAAGGGACGGCUAACUACGUGCCAGCCGCCGCCGUAA
This 513-nucleotide ribosomal RNA is filed under the name uncultured bacterium. RNAcentral describes it as "partial 16S ribosomal RNA". It matches the Rfam family "Bacterial small subunit ribosomal RNA", at positions 28 to 523 of the family's 1533-position model. The record is from RNAcentral.